This 68-nucleotide transfer RNA is filed under the name Marmota monax (woodchuck). RNAcentral describes it as "tRNA.Ala". Lineage: Eukaryota; Metazoa; Chordata; Mammalia; Rodentia; Sciuridae. The record is from RNAcentral.
GGAUUGUGGCUCAGUGGUAGAGCGCUCGCCUAGCAUGUGCAAGGCCCUGGGUUCGAUCCUCAGCACCA